GCCACUGUAGCACAAUGGCUAGUGCGUUGCCUUCCUAAGGCAAAGGUUGUGGGUUCGAGUCCCAUCCGUGGUU
Molecule: transfer RNA, 73 nt
Filed under: Pleurotus ostreatus PC15
Lineage: Eukaryota; Fungi; Basidiomycota; Agaricomycetes; Agaricales; Pleurotaceae
Description: tRNA-Arg (CCT) (tRNA-Arg-CCT-1-1)
Rfam family: tRNA
About the family: Transfer RNA (tRNA) molecules are approximately 80 nucleotides in length. Their secondary structure includes four short double-helical elements and three loops (D, anti-codon, and T loops).
Source: RNAcentral